CCUACGGUGUGCAGCAGUGGGGAAUAUUGGGCAAUGGGCGCAAGCCUGACCCAGCAACGCCGCGUGAAGGAAGAAGGCCCUCGGGUUGUAAACUUCUUUUAACAGGGACGAAGAAAGUGACGGUACCUGUUGAAUAAGCCACGGCUAACUACGUGCCAGCAGCCGCGGUAAUACGGGGGAUGCAAGCGUUAUCCGGAUUUAUUGGGUUUAAAGGGUGCGUAGGCUGUGAGGUAAGUCAGCGGUGAAAUGCACCGCUCAACGUGGUGAAGUGCCAUUGAUACUGCCUUGCUGGAAUGCGGAUGCCGUGGGAGGAAUGUGUGGUGUAGCGGUGAAAGGCAUAGAUAUCACACAGAACACCGAUUGCGAAGGCAUCUCACGAAUCCGCGAUUGACGCUGAUGCACGAAAGCGUGGGUAUCAAACAGGAUUAGAUACCCGGGUAGUC
This 443-nucleotide ribosomal RNA is filed under the name uncultured bacterium. RNAcentral describes it as "partial 16S ribosomal RNA". It matches the Rfam family "Bacterial small subunit ribosomal RNA", at positions 338 to 795 of the family's 1533-position model. The record is from RNAcentral.